Molecule: long non-coding RNA, 407 nt
Filed under: Marmota monax (woodchuck)
Lineage: Eukaryota; Metazoa; Chordata; Mammalia; Rodentia; Sciuridae
Source: RNAcentral
GAAUGCCUACGGAGCUUGGAGAGGAUCCCAGCUGUCAGCCAGCAAGGAAAUGGGGUCUGUGACCCUGUAACUGGAAGGAUUGAACUCUGGCAAAAUUCUGAAUGAGACUGGAAGUGACUUCUCCCCAGGCAUCUCCAGAAAUGAGCCAGCCAGCUGACACCUUGAAUCCAGUCUUCUGAGAUGUGGGCAGAAGGACCGUACACCACCACCUGGACUUCUGACCUAUAGAACUGGGAUAUAACACAUUGAUGUUGUAUUAAGCCUCCAGAUACGUGUUGAUUUAUUGUGGUAACAGGUAAAUAUAAAAAAAAUAUAUAAUAUAGAACCAGAAAUAUUGGUCUUAGAGGGUGGGAUGUCCUGAGCAAUAAGAAUGGAAGCCCCUUACAGAGAUGUAAAUAACUGAUGAG